Molecule: ribosomal RNA, 560 nt
Filed under: uncultured bacterium
Lineage: Bacteria
Description: bacterial SSU rRNA
Rfam family: Bacterial small subunit ribosomal RNA
Source: RNAcentral
AUGCUAGUCGAACGCGUCUAAGACGAGUGGCGAACGGGUGAGUAAUGCAUAGGAAUCUGCCCCAUAAUUUGGUUAAAUACCUUAUAUUUAAAAGACUUUGUCGUUAUGGGAUGAGCCUUUGUAGGAUUAGGUAGUUGGUAGGGUAAUAGCCUACCAAGCCGAUGAUCCUUAACUGGUCUGAGAGGAUGUACAGUCACACUAGAACUGAGACAAGGUCUAGACAUCUACGGAUGGCAGCAGUGAGGAAUCUUGAACAAUGGGCGAAAGCUUGAUUCAGCGAUAUAGAGUGAAUGAUGACAGUCAUUUGAUUGUAAAGUUCUUUUACCAAGGAAGAUUUUGACUUUACUUGGAGAAAAAGCCCCGGCUAAUUCUCGUGCCAGCAGCCGCGGUGAUACGAGAGGGGCUAGUGUUAUUCGGAAUUAUUGGGUGUAAAGGGUGAGUAGACUGUAACCAUAGUUAAAAGUUAAAUCUUAGUAGUGAUUACUAAAGCGAUUUUUAAUAACAAGUUACUAGAGUAAAAGAGAGGAUUGUACAAUUUCAAGUGGAGAAAUAAAAUUCGU